RNAcentral lists this ribosomal RNA (925 nucleotides) under Pseudomonas frederiksbergensis. Its description in RNAcentral is "bacterial SSU rRNA". It matches the Rfam family "Bacterial small subunit ribosomal RNA", at positions 1 to 893 of the family's 1533-position model. The record is from RNAcentral. Lineage: Bacteria; Pseudomonadati; Pseudomonadota; Gammaproteobacteria; Pseudomonadales; Pseudomonadaceae.
GCAUAAACCCCCAAAAAAAAAAAAAAAAAUUUUAUAGAGGGUUUAUCCACUUGUCAGAUUGAACGCUGGCGGCAGGCCUAACACAUGCAAGUCGAGCGGCAGCACGGGUACUUGUACCUGGUGGCGAGCGGCGGACGGGUGAGUAAUGCCUAGGAAUCUGCCUGGUAGUGGGGGAUAACGCUCGGAAACGGACGCUAAUACCGCAUACGUCCUACGGGAGAAAGCAGGGGACCUUCGGGCCUUGCGCUAUCAGAUGAGCCUAGGUCGGAUUAGCUAGUUGGUGAGGUAAUGGCUCACCAAGGCGACGAUCCGUAACUGGUCUGAGAGGAUGAUCAGUCACACUGGAACUGAGACACGGUCCAGACUCCUACGGGAGGCAGCAGUGGGGAAUAUUGGACAAUGGGCGAAAGCCUGAUCCAGCCAUGCCGCGUGUGUGAAGAAGGUCUUCGGAUUGUAAAGCACUUUAAGUUGGGAGGAAGGGCAUUUACCUAAUACGUAAGUGUUUUGACGUUACCGACAGAAUAAGCACCGGCUAACUCUGUGCCAGCAGCCGCGGUAAUACAGAGGGUGCAAGCGUUAAUCGGAAUUACUGGGCGUAAAGCGCGCGUAGGUGGUUCGUUAAGUUGGAUGUGAAAUCCCCGGGCUCAACCUGGGAACUGCAUUCAAAACUGUCGAGCUAGAGUAUGGUAGAGGGUGGUGGAAUUUCCUGUGUAGCGGUGAAAUGCGUAGAUAUAGGAAGGAACACCAGUGGCGAAGGCGACCACCUGGACUGAUACUGACACUGAGGUGCGAAAGCGUGGGGAGCAAACAGGAUUAGAUACCCUGGUAGUCCACGCCGUAAACGAUGUCAACUAGCCGUUGGGAGCCUUGAGCUCUUAGUGGCGCAGCUAACGCAUUAAGUGACCGCCUGGAGACGCCGACCUGG